RNAcentral lists this ribosomal RNA (399 nucleotides) under uncultured bacterium. RNAcentral describes it as "bacterial SSU rRNA". It matches the Rfam family "Bacterial small subunit ribosomal RNA", at positions 355 to 751 of the family's 1533-position model. The record is from RNAcentral.
UGAGGAAUAUUGGACAAUGGAUGGAAAUCUGAUCCAGCCAUGCCGCGUGCAGGAAGAAUGUCCUAUGGAUUGUAAACUGCUUUUGUAUGGGAGCAAUAAGGUCUUCGUGAAGGCCGAUGAGAGUACCAUACGAAUAAGCACCGGCUAACUCCGUGCCAGCAGCCGCGGUAAUACGGAGGGUGCAAGCGUUAUCCGGAUUUAUUGGGUUUAAAGGGUGCGUAGGCGGUUAUAUAAGUCAGCGGUGAAAUUUUUCGGCUCAACCGGAAACAUGCCGUUGAUACUGUAUAGCUUGAAUAUGGUUGCUGUGAGUGGAAUGUGUAGUGUAGCGGUGAAAUGCUUAGAUAUUACACAGAAUAUCGAUUGCGAAGGCAACUCACAAAGCCAUUAUUGACGCUGAGG